GGUCUGGUGGUGUAGUUGGUUAUCACGUCAGUCUAACAGUCCGAAUCCUCUGAAGAGUGGCUCGCCUGGUAUCACUGAAGGUCUCCGGUUCAAGUCCGGGCUAGAUCA
This 108-nucleotide transfer RNA is filed under the name Colletotrichum orbiculare MAFF 240422. RNAcentral describes it as "tRNA-Val for anticodon AAC". It matches the Rfam family "tRNA". From Rfam's summary of the family: Transfer RNA (tRNA) molecules are approximately 80 nucleotides in length. Their secondary structure includes four short double-helical elements and three loops (D, anti-codon, and T loops). Further hydrogen bonds mediate the characteristic L-shaped molecular structure. tRNAs have two regions of fundamental functional importance: the anti-codon, which is responsible for specific mRNA codon recognition, and the 3' end, to which the tRNAs corresponding amino acid is attached (by aminoacyl-tRNA synthetases). tRNAs cope with the degeneracy of the genetic code in two manners: having more than one tRNA (with a specific anti-codon) for a particular amino acid; and 'wobble' base-pairing, i.e. permitting non-standard base-pairing at the 3rd anti-codon position. Lineage: Eukaryota; Fungi; Ascomycota; Sordariomycetes; Glomerellales; Glomerellaceae. The record is from Rfam by way of RNAcentral.